RNAcentral lists this long non-coding RNA (1213 nucleotides) under Selaginella moellendorffii. RNAcentral describes it as "long non-coding RNA (SMOE_LNC001159)". The record is from RNAcentral. Lineage: Eukaryota; Viridiplantae; Streptophyta; Lycopodiopsida; Selaginellales; Selaginellaceae.
CGCCAUCCACGGCGAUGCUGAGAAUCCCCGGCGCCUGGACAUCGAAAUGGAAGUUAAGUGGCGGCGGCUCGAUCUCCUCCUCGCUCUCCAGCAUUCGCACCACUGCAUCCAUCGUAGGUCUAGUUGCUGGAUCUUCUUGCACACACCAAAACGCUGCGUGGAUCAAAUUCUUCGCCUUUGCCGCGUCGGCCGACGCUCGGAUGCUCGGAUCCACCACUUCCAUCGCAUUCCCUCUCUGGACUUCCCUCAUGGCCCAGGCCGGGAAGUACGUGUCGACCUUGGAGCAAUCCAGGUUUCUCCUCCCGCCGAUGAGCUCCAAGAGCACCAUUCCAUAGCUGUAGACGUCGCAUUUCUUGGUCGCUGUGGAGUGCAUGAGCCACUCCGGAGCUAGAUAUCCUGGAGUUCCUCUCACUCCGGUGAGAACUCCAUUCUCAUCUUUGUCCAUGAGUAGCUUCGCCAUGCCAAAGUCCGCCACUUUGGCCUCAAACUUGUCACCCAGGAGGAUGUUUUGUGGCUUGAUAUCCAAGUGGAUGAUCGAGUCUCUGGAUUCCUCGUGCAAGUAGGCCAGCCCUCGAGCAGUGUCGAGAGCAAUGCUGUGUCGAAGUUUCCAGUCCAGUUUGUUCUUGCUGUCCGAGAAGAUCCAUCUGUCCAAGGAGCCAUUGGGCAUGAACUCGUAGACGAGCAGUCUGUGUGAAGCUUCGGCACAAAAGCCGUGAAGUUUGACGAUGUUGAUGUGGCUUAUGCCUCCCAGGGCCUGGACUUCUGCGAUGAAUUGUUUCUGUGCGUGUUGGGCGCUGAGUUUCUUCACAGCUAGCUUCAUCUUGUUGUGAAGAACUCCCUCGUACACGGUGCUGUAGCCUCCUUGUCCCAGCACGGUUGUGAAUCCUUUGGUGGCGGAGUAAAGGCCUCGGUAUGAGAAUUGGAAAGGUGACGCCUCCACACGGGUGAGAAAGCUGCUUACCUCUCUGAGUAAGACGUUUCUUCGAUGCAGGGCAGCGAACAUCACUGCGAGGAUUGUAAUAGCAAUUGCAGCACUUCCAGAGGUAACUCCGAUAACUAUAUGCUUCGCAGUUUCUGAUCUUGGAUGGUCCACAGACACCAACCUGGAGUAGUUCUGGUACUUCAGAAAGCCCACCAGCUGGUUCGCCUUGGAUGGAUCAAGUGUCAAGCUUCCCAGAACGUCUUCCACGUAGAAACAGUUUUGGAGUGCUCU